Molecule: ribosomal RNA, 327 nt
Filed under: uncultured eukaryote
Lineage: Eukaryota
Description: partial 18S ribosomal RNA
Rfam family: Eukaryotic small subunit ribosomal RNA
Source: RNAcentral
CCCUUAGAUGUCCUGGGCCGCACGCGUGCUACACUGACACUUAAACCGAGUUUUUCCAAUGCCGAAAGGCCAUUGGUAAUCAGCAAUAAGUGUCGUGAUGGGGAUAGAUCUUUGGAAUUAUUGAUCUUGAACGAGGAAUGCCUAGUAAUCGUAGGUCAUCAGCCUGCGAUGAUUACGUCCCUGCCCUUUGUACACACCGCCCGUCGCUGCCCGGAACUGAGCCAUUUCGAGAAAAAUGGGGACAGACUGCUUGUGGGUGCGCAAGCACUUCUUGCAGAUUGAAACCAUCUUGAUCGGUAUGGCUUGAACCGGGCAAAAGUCGUAACA